Long non-coding RNA from Numida meleagris (helmeted guineafowl), 3339 nucleotides. RefSeq lists it as uncharacterized. Lineage: Eukaryota; Metazoa; Chordata; Aves; Galliformes; Numididae. The transcript has 3 exons. The record is from RefSeq and is a predicted model, not a curated record.
CGAUGGCGAUGGCCAUGAGGCUGAAAGCGGCGAAAGCUCCCACCGUGGUCAGCAGCAUCUGGACGCCACGGUCACACCACACCAUGGUCCAAUAGUGCCUUUGCAAAAUCACCCUCCGAAUUGAUAUCUCCAUUAGGGAUGGAAGAAUGAAGGCAGGUAAGCUGAAAAGCAGAGCGAAGCCUCGUUCAGAAAAACUGAAUCAAGCAUUUAAAUUUAAUGAGGUUCAACAAAUUUCUCAUUUAAAAUAUAUGUUUGUACCUGUGUGCUUUGGGGCUUUGGCCGGGAAGGGAAAAUGAGAUACUGAAACAGCAGGAGAGAAGCCAUUUCCACAGCUUUUUAAACCAAUUGAGCCUUAAUUAAUAUUAUUUAUUUGUAUUGCCCACGGCCAGCUCUCCCAGUGAGGAGCAGGGGAGGCUGGAUGAGAUGUAGCCACGGCCACGCUGCUGCUCGGGGGCAGAAAUAGCCCCAUCCUUCCCACUCAGAACUGCAACAGGAGCAGGAUGGGGCAUCUGGUCUGGUGGGCUUGGAGCAUCCUCUGCCAGCAGAAAGGGGUACGCAGCUGCAGGGCUUUCCACCUCGUACAGCCCUAUUGGUUGCGUGAGAUAACAGCGCAUUAACAGAACUCAUUAACAAAGUCUUGGUCCUCUCCCCUCCCCCCCAGCAUUUUUGCAAAGAGAACUGCUGCUCCUGUUGCCCUGAGAGAAAUCUCAGGCUCUGAAAGGGUUACAGAGAGGCACCCAAGACAGGCAAUCAUUUUCUGCCCAAGCUAUCUUCUUUAGUUUAAAAAUGUUCUCUAUUCUUUUGAAAUGCAUGAAGUAGAUUGUGGGAGAGCUAAUAUUAUAUUCCACUACUGAGAGCUGGUGGAGUAUUUUGCAUUGAUGUCUGGCUCUAGUGAUUUUCUAAGGAUUUUGAAUUCAUUAAAUCCCACCAUUGAAUAAUCUCCAAUCGUGGCGGAAGGAAGGCAAAAGUGCUUAUGCUCCUCAGUAGCAAAAAAGCAUGUAUUCUUUCCUUAAAUGUGAAGGCUAUUUGACCCUCUGUAUGUCGUAACGGUUGCCCAUCAUGAAACAUUUGACUUGCAGACUUUGCUUAUGGCACAGCCUUAUGAUGCUGCCAUAGAGUUUCGCAGUGGAACAGCCUCGGCAGGGUGUUGUGCACCACAGUGGCAUCCUCCAUCCUCAGUGAAAAUUAAGACCCAGUUGUUCUAAGCUCAGAAAGAUACAGGAGCUCAUGACAAGGAGAAGAAAAAGCCCCACAUCUUCUCCCUGUAGUUUAGCUCCCCUCACCCCCACAGAUUUUACAUUGCAAGUGUCCAUGCCCAUAAAUGUAUUUUUCACAGGAGAAACAAAAACUUGAAGCAGAAAUGUUAUUUUGGAGGUGAAACUUUGGAUUGAACUGAAUUCAGUGAGAGCUGUCAUUAACGAAGUCUUACCCGAGAGACAGUGCUGCUAUCAGAAGGAGAGAAAGAACCACACCGUGUUACCAUUUGGGAUGACUGCUUCUGCUGCUAAAUGUCAGGCAUUGCAUUCAAUACACCAGGCUUUUUUUUUUUUUCUUUUAAAUUAUCAUCUAGAAAAGUAACACCAGAAUGCCUAGAAUUUCACUAAAAGAAACUUUUGGAAAUUGCUCAAGAAAAGCUCCAGGGAGUACUUUCUCAGAAUGAAAAUCAGUUAAACAGAGCUUUUGAUGUAGAUACAGCCUAAUGGCCUCCAAAGCCUGGAACAGGUAUCUCGUUCCCCUCGUCCUUUCCCAGCUUUUAGCCCUAUGCAUGUAAGAAUGACUUUCAGCAUCUAGCAACAUCCUAAAGCUAUGAGCACAUCAGUAUCGUUGGUUGUUGCCAUCUCCUACAGGUAGGUCUUUAUAUCUCUUCUAUCUAAUCUGAUACUGGUAUUAGGAAAUCAAUCAUCCUGAAGCAUUUCAUUUGGAUUAUGCUGCAUAUGAAGAACUGAAGAAACGGGAUUUGCUUCAGCGGAGCUUCAUGGGCACAAAGAUCUCCACUCCAGCAAAGAACCUUGCAGGAAGAUAGGACGUGGCAGAAGGUAUCAGUUAUGGCACAGGUAUGUGUAAGGAAGAAAGAUUAAAGUUGCUCAUGGAGCUAUAUUUUCAUAUGCUUUGGUUCAGAUGUUUCAGGUUAACAUGAUCUCCACUGAAUCACACUGGGAGAUUACUUCCAGAGCUACUUACAAAUGACACUGAGCUCAUAGAGAGGGUUUGUGGCAAAGCAACUGCUGAGUUCACUUCUGAGGCAUUGUGUGUAUGUGACCCAUUGACCCACCUAUUCCCUGUAUUACUCUUAACUGUGUAUUUCAAGGAGGUGGUGUCCUUCGUCUUGGAGGACCAUACUCUGCUUCCUCCAGCAUGGGAAGAUUGGCAGAAGUCACCAUCACAUUUCAUGGAGCUGAGUCUAGAGGAAGGUGAACUUGAGUUUUGUUUAAGAAGGCUGAAUUUCUUCUUUAGCCCUAUGAAAGAUCAUCUUAAGUCAGCAUCAGUAGUUUCAGCAUCCUCCAGAGCCACAGGAACGGUCGUCUUAAAGGAAGCCAGAUGCUGCUAUUGGAAAAGUAGCUGCCAUGGUUUGUCAUCCGAGCUCAGGAAUUGAUAUCCAAGAAUGAUAUGAUGAGACAGACUUGAUGACAGCACUGCUCUUUCUAUAAAUAAUUUGAAGAAAACCGUUUUUCAUUUUGAAAAAUGAAAAGACUCUUUUGCUACAGACUUGCACAGCAAACCAGAAAAUUAAAAAGGAUGGGCAUGCUGUGUUUGAAUGGGGCCAUCAAAAGAACAAAAUAUGUGCAGUUUAUGUAAAAUGUAUAGCAGCUCUCACGCAUUUUACUCUACCUAGGCUGUAUUUUUCCCAUAGUACCAAUAGUCACAAAACUCAUUAUCUUUCUGACAAUGGAGAAAUGGAAUAUCAGCCUUUUACUUUCUUGACCAUGUCAAAUGUCAGAGCAAUUUGUGAAUGCUUGUCCUUCAAAUGCUCAUCCCUCCUGCUAAGAUUAAAUAUCAGUAGUGCUCACAUUCAGCUACAGAAUGAACUCAUAUUGCACACAUCUCUCAGAUCUAAAGUUCACUGCGUCCAUUACCUGUGAUGUGAGUUUGCCUCCCAAGUCCCACCUCUUGUCCAUGUCCUAAUGGCUGAAAAUUCCGCUGCAGUGUUAGAUGCUGCGUUGAGGAUUAUCUGGAGCAGAAGGUAACAUGAUGGGUGGGGGUUUCUCAUAAGGUGUUAAGAAGAGUGACAAAGGGACUGGGAGAAAGAACGAGGAGUUAAUAGGGCAAGAGCCUCCAUUUUGUGGUCCAUUUCAGAGGACUUGGAGACAGCAUGCCAAUGGGAAGCUACCAGAAAUUUCU